Molecule: ribosomal RNA, 240 nt
Filed under: uncultured bacterium
Lineage: Bacteria
Description: partial 16S ribosomal RNA
Rfam family: Bacterial small subunit ribosomal RNA
Source: RNAcentral
AGCGUUGUUCGGAAUUACUGGGCGUAAAGGGCUCGUAGGCGGCCAACUAAGUCAGACGUGAAAUCCCUCAGCUUAACUGGGGGACUGCGUCUGAUACUGGAUGGCUUGGAUUUGGGAGAGGAAUGCGGAAUUCCAGGUGUAGCGGUGAAAUGCGUAGAUAUCGUAAGGAAGACCAGUGGCGAAGGCGGGUCUCUGGACAGUUCCUGACGCUGAGGCACGAAGGCCAGGGGAGCAAACGGG